GCGGACGUAGCAAUACGUCAGCGGCAGACGGGUGAGUAACGCGUGGGAACGUACCUUUUGGUUCGGAAUAGCUCAGGGAAACUUGGAUUAAUACCGAAUAAGCCCUUACGGGGAAAGAUUUAUCGCCGAAAGAUCGGCCCGCGUCUGAUUAGCUAGUUGGUGAGGUAACGGCUCACCAAGGCGACGAUCAGUAGCUGGUCUGAGAGGAUGAUCAGCCACAUUGGGACUGAGACACGGCCCAAACUCCUACGGGAGGCAGCAGUGGGGAAUAUUGGACAAUGGGCGCAAGCCUGAUCCAGUCAUGCCGCGUGAGUGAUGAAGGCCCUAGGG
This 330-nucleotide ribosomal RNA is filed under the name uncultured bacterium. Its description in RNAcentral is "bacterial SSU rRNA". It matches the Rfam family "Bacterial small subunit ribosomal RNA", at positions 66 to 422 of the family's 1533-position model. The record is from RNAcentral.